RNAcentral lists this long non-coding RNA (1194 nucleotides) under Salmo salar (Atlantic salmon). RNAcentral's name for it is "lncRNA (ENSSSAG00000102053.1, ENSSSAG00020067404.1)". The record is from RNAcentral. Lineage: Eukaryota; Metazoa; Chordata; Actinopteri; Salmoniformes; Salmonidae.
GUCCUUCUGUUGCAUCUCUGUCGACAUUACAGCAUCUGUGCUGUUACGUGACACUUUCUAAGGCUUCUAUUGGCUCUCUAAAGCGUUCAGAAAGCGGAAUGACAUGUCUCAUGUCUCUGGGCAAAGUACAGCAGCAGAGUUUGUAAGUGGCCUGACUUCUCCAUUUUUUUCUUUCAGUCUUUGAAUGAAUACAACGUUGUCCAGUUGGAAUAUUAUCGCUAUUUUACGAGAAAAAUAGCAUAAAAAAUUAAUUUUAAACAGCGUUUGACAUGCUUCUAAGUACAGUAAUGGAAUAUUUUGCAUUUUUUUGUCACGAAAUGCGCUUCGGAUAGUGACCUGAACGCACGAACAAAACGGAGGUAUUUGGAUAUAACUAUGGAUUAUUUGGAACCAAAACAACAUUUGUUGUUGAAGUAGAAGUCCUGGGAGUGCAUUCUGACGAAGAACAGCAAAGAUAGAGGAUUUUGCAAUAAAUGUCCGUUGACAACUCUGCUCGGGGGGCUUCAGCGAUGCAUGGAUUUCACCCCCAGGAUUGCAGGUUUCUCUACGAGUGGACCUUUUGAACCAGCACCUACAGCUCCGCCAGUGCCUGAGUCUUUGUCUGCUGUUCAGACUCCUCCAUGGAGGAAGGCAUUGAAGUUGUCGAUGUUAAAUAUGACAUGUUUUAUCACAUUAUUUUUCCUCAACUACUAUGGUUCUGGAAGCCAUGAUAGAACACUGAUUCACAGCCCUGCUAAGGACAUCUGUGAAGACCACCUCACCUUUCUCCCGGCCCCUCUCCAGCCCUGCUAAGGACCUCUGUGAAGACCACCUCACCUUUCUCCCGGCCCCUCUCCAGCCCUGCUAAGGACCUCUGUGAAGACCACCUCACCUUUCUCCCGGACCCUCUCCAGCCCUGCUAAGGACCUCUGUGAAGACCACCUCACCUUUCUCCCGGACCCUCUCCAGCCCUGCUAAGUACCACCUCCCCUUUCUCCCGGCCCCUCUCCAGCCCUGCUAAGGACCUCUGUGAAAACCACCUCACCUUUCUCCCGGACCCCUCUGCUACAGCCUAUAUGAAGACCACCACUGCCUCUGCUGUCUCUCAGGGCACCGCCAGCUCUGCUAGAGUCUCUGUAAAUGCUCUCCUCUGCUAUAGCCUCGAAGAGGAGCCUCAGUAAAUAACAUUUUGUCAUUUCUUAACUUAUAUCAUUA